RNAcentral lists this ribosomal RNA (448 nucleotides) under uncultured bacterium. Its description in RNAcentral is "partial 16S ribosomal RNA". It matches the Rfam family "Bacterial small subunit ribosomal RNA", at positions 29 to 523 of the family's 1533-position model. The record is from RNAcentral.
AGCGAACGCUGGCGGCAUGCCUAACACAUGCAAGUCGCGCGGUCAGCAAUGGCAGCGGCGGACGGGUGCGUAACGCGUAGGAACGUGUCCUGAGGUGGGGGACAACCCUGGGAAACUGGGGCUAAUACCGCAUAUGGGCUGAGGCCCAAAGCCGAAAGGCGCCUAGGAGCGGCCUGCGUCCGAUUAGCUAGUUGGUGGGGUAACUGCCUACCAAGGCUCCGAUCGGUAGCUGGUCUGAGAGGACGAUCAGCCACACUGGGACUGAGACACGGCCCAGACUCCUACGGGAGGCAGCAGUGGGGAAUAUUGGACAAUGGGCGCAAGCCUGAUCCAGCAAUGCCGCGUGGGUGAAGAAGGUCUUCGGAUCGUAAAGCCCUUUCGACAGGGACGAUGAUGACGGUACCUGUAGAAGAAGCCCCGGCUAACUUCGUGCCAGCAGCCGCCGUAA